CGAUAGUUCACGUUUAAUUUUGCUUAUUUUUGUAAAGUCAGCUUGUAUACCGCCGUCAUCAGAUUAUCUUUUUAGAGGAUGAAUUUUCUUUAUAUUUGAGUAAAUAGAAUGUCAGGUCAAGGUGCAGUUUAUAUGUAAGUGGAGAUGGAUUACAAUAAAGAAAUUUAUAUGGAUAUAAAUUUGAAAUGAUUUAUUGAAGGUGGAU
Molecule: ribosomal RNA, 205 nt
Filed under: Troglophilus spinulosus
Lineage: Eukaryota; Metazoa; Arthropoda; Insecta; Orthoptera; Rhaphidophoridae
Description: partial 12S ribosomal RNA
Source: RNAcentral